Molecule: long non-coding RNA, 3014 nt
Organism: Ochotona curzoniae (black-lipped pika)
Lineage: Eukaryota; Metazoa; Chordata; Mammalia; Lagomorpha; Ochotonidae
Exons: 3
Source: RefSeq, a predicted model, not a curated record
CAGGCUGUACAAGGAGAAAUCACAUUGAAAACCCAGGCUGUCCAAGCAGCGUGUCAACUCCAGCGCCACAUGCCUGCCCUUGAUCUUUUCUUUAAAGCUGCUCCAAAUGUAUUGUACUGCCAAGAGUGGUACCAUUCACUCUCCUUUAUGCUCUACACACGGUCCCCAAACACUGUCACAUCUCCCAGUCUCCCCUGCAUCCGCCUCUCAUUUUUUUUCUGGACCUCUGGCUGAUGCGCUCCUCCUAUUUCAGAGUGUGGGAAUUCAGCAGAGACCCCUAGCAGCCACACUGCCACCAAAGAGGCAGUGACUUUUCAGUUUCAUCCACAGACUCCGUUUCCGCAACACAGGUUGUUGAUGAAGAAUCUUGAGCUUCAUUAGGCCAGAAUGUCCUUUUAUCCCCUUCUGAUCUGGAGCAGUUUCUGCAUCUCCCUAUCUUUUAGGAUCUUACCACUGUUAAGGAAUGCAUAUGUGAUGGCUUCCCGUGAGCAGAGUGGAGUUAGGCCUUUUGCACCAAGAUACCACAGAAAUAAGGUGAUGGGUGCAUGCGGUAUGGAGUUGAACCCAAAGGCAUGAGUUGAUGUUUUGAUCCCGCUUGGCUGAGAUCGCUUCUACCAAGUUGCUCUCCUACAAAGAUAAUUAAUAAGUAUUUUGACUUUAUUAUGGAGUAAGUAGCAUUUUCUGAGACGACACUUUGAGACUAUGUAGCUGUCCUGUUUAUGUCAAAUGUCCACCUGCUAGUGGGACAUCCGUUGAUGUCCGUGGAUGUUAGUGUGAUGGUUAUCAAAUUGUGAUUUUCUUUGACACUCUCUCCCCUACUUCUGUAUUGGAGAGUUUUCUGUCAACUAUAACACAGACCAUGCUGUUUCCCCAUGCAUUUGUUAACGUGUGUCCUUAGGGACUUGGAUUGCUAUUCCAGUCAAUGAAUUACAAACUUCACCAUUUUUACCAGAUUUGCUGCUUGCUGUUCCCACGGGGGGGGGGGGGGGUAGGAGGAAGCAGGAGUUCCUUUAUGCCGGAUCCUCUGCCCUUUUUCAUCAUAUUAAAUAUACAUUUUUGCUCAAUAUUCAUCAUUCAUUUGCAAUGUAUCCUUAAGAAUCGUAAAUAUAAUAAACAUUAAUAAAAUUAUAUGUAGAAAAGUAUGCAAAUAUAAAUUUUAAAAGUAUACAUACAUCUUAUUGUAAGAAAUUACCAAACAAGGACAGAAAUAUGGAGCAUAGAGAAGAAAUAUGUAUAUAUAUAUAUAUAGAGAGAGAGAGAAUGUUUCCAGGCUGGCUUUGUUGGGUAGCUGGUGGAUCCACCAUCUGUGAUGCCAGCAUCCCUCACGCGCGCACUGGUUUGAGUCUCAGCUGCUCCGCUUCUGAUGUCUGUGAAUGCACGUGGGAACAGUGGACCAUGGCCCAUUGUGGCCCCUGCACCUCUGCCGAGACCUGGAAUAAGCUCCUGGUUCCUGGCUCUGAGCUGCUUCAGCCCUGGUGGUUACAGCUAGUGGAGAAGAUUCUCUCUUCCUCUCUCUCUCUGCAACUCUGUCUUUCAAGUAAAUAAAUAAACCUUCUUGCAGGGUACACAAACGUGAGAGGGGAUCCCAGGAACCAUCUAGGAGCCACUCAGUGGGAUAAUUGAGCUUUUGUGUGAAGUGGGUGAUUUUAAUGGCAUUCUUGCUGUCAAUAGAUUAGUCCCCUGGAAAGUCCCAGGCCUGCUUUCCUAAGGGAGGGAUGGUACCUACACAGUGAGCAGGAGUGUGCUGAGCGUGGUGAAGGCAAGGGCAACACGAGGUCCCUGCAUGUCAGCAGUAUCAGAGGAAGGGGGAGUUUGGGUGUUGUGGGUGGGCGUGGUCACUUGUUCUCUGCCAGGUGCGUGCCUGAUUAGGUUAGGGCCCUCUCCUGGAUCAUCACAGCCCCAGGUGCCAGCAGGCAGCCUCAUCACCCCGGCUUCCUGGUUCCCUCUCCUGCUUUGCCUCCUGCUGCUCGGUGCAGCCAAGGUCCCCUCUUUUAAAGGGCUUAGGUUAUACACGUGCCUUAAACAAUCCAGUUCUGUGUUGAUGCUCAAAACAGAUUUUGAUUUAUGUGGUUUUUUUUUUAAAGUUAUAUUUAUUUGCAACAUAGAAUAAUAGAAUGAGAGACACAAACAGGGAGAGAUCUUCCAUCUACAACUUUACUCCCCAGGUGUCAACCAUAGCUCGGGCUAGACUGAGCCAAAGCCAGGAGCCAGACAUGCAACCCAGGUCUCCCACGUGGGCAGCAGGUACCUGACUGCCUUAGCUACCCCCUGUUGCAUUGCGGGAUGCAGACAUAUUAGCAGGAAGCUCUGUAUACUGUCACCAGAUUUAAAUCCAGGCAUUCUGGUAUGGGGUAGGAGUGAGCCAAACCUCUUACUGCACCCAAUAAUUACCCUCACAUCUUUGGAUUUCUGUUGAUUAAGUGCCUGGGAACAGGUCUGCUGGGCAAGGAAAUCUGAAUCUGCCUGAUAUUAGUGAACAUUGUCAGUUUUCCAAUUCACGCUUCCCACAAGAUGUGUGGCAUCUUUCCCUAUCCUGGGAUCUUGGGCCUAUACCGCCCCGCCCUUUCUUGGUGUCUCUAAUCCUUCCCUGACAGCUCCGUCUAAUCGGUACAGCCGUGUUUGUUGUCCAUUUAUGCUGCCUCACACUUUGUGGAAAGCGGAUUAGGCACAGGUGUGGGCCCUGUGUGUGGUAAUCAGAGAAGGCAUCUGGGGCGAGACAACCUCUGGCUAGGCAAAGAUCCCCACGGUGGGCAUGUGGGUGCAUCCACUUGCUGGCACUGUUCCUAGUAGCGCUGCUGUAGAGACCAACACCCCCACUUACGUGGUGGGGAUUCAAAUCUGUGUUCUCUCCCCUCAACCAGAAGGCACGGACAGAGGAGAGCAGAAAAGCAGGAUUUAUUGAAGGGCAGAGAGAUUGUGUGUUCAGACAGGCGUGCGGGGAAGCCCAGCAGGAAUUGCCCCACCCCACCCAGGCUGGGAUCCUCUUUGCAAAGGGAGGGCAUGGCUCAGUGAGU